GAUGAACGCUGGCGGCGUGCUUAACACAUGCAAGUCGAACGGAAAGGCUCCUGCUUGCAGGGGUACUCGAGUGGCGAACGGGUGAGUAACACGUGGGUGAUCUGCUCUGCACUUCGGGAUAAGCCUGGGAAACUGGGUCUAAUACCGGAUAGGACCACAUUUUGGAUGGUGUGGUGGAAAGUUUUUCGGUGUGGGAUGAGCUCGCGGCCUAUCAGCUUGUUGGUGGGGUAAUGGCCUACCAAGGCGUCGACGGGUAGCCGGCCUGAGAGGGUGUACGGCCACAUUGGGACUGAGAUACGGCCCAGACUCCUACGGGAGGCAGCAGUGGGGAAUAUUGCACAAUGGGCGCAAGCCUGAUGCAGCGACGCCGCGUGGGGGAUGACGGCCUUCGGGUUGUAAACUCCUUUCGCUAGGGACGAAGCGCAAGUGACGGUACCUGGAGAAGAAGCACCGGCUAACUACGUG
RNAcentral lists this ribosomal RNA (465 nucleotides) under uncultured bacterium. Its description in RNAcentral is "partial 16S ribosomal RNA". It matches the Rfam family "Bacterial small subunit ribosomal RNA", at positions 28 to 507 of the family's 1533-position model. The record is from RNAcentral.